AAUCAAAACACUUUCUAACUAAUCUAAGACUUCAAAAUAAAGGGGGAUUUGUUUUGGACGACAAUUGAAAACAAAACAGAAACUUUAAACUAAACAGAACGUUUUUGAAUAAAAGGAUGGAUAAAAGGCUAGUUAGGAGGUUCUUCUCCACACAUGUCACACUUGUAAACAAAACGAUUUUCAGUUGUUCUUCCAAUAAAUUAUGAAUACUCAACGCCCCAAAUUAACCGUGAAUUGCACUAAUUAACCCUCAGUUUUUCCACGAGUUAUUGAGUUGGAUGAUUGCAUACGACAACCCAAAGCAUUCCCUACAAGUUCCCUACAUGAAUUGCAUAAUAGAGAUACAAGCAAGAAUCAUUAAGUUCUAUGAAAAACAUAAGCAUUGACGAAGCAUUCGUUACUAUGAAUUGCAUGAAACUUAUGCCAAGAAUUCAUUCAACGCGAUCGUUUUCAAGCGACCUU
This 462-nucleotide long non-coding RNA is filed under the name Malus domestica (apple). RNAcentral describes it as "long non-coding RNA (MDOM_LNC019812)". The record is from RNAcentral. Lineage: Eukaryota; Viridiplantae; Streptophyta; Magnoliopsida; Rosales; Rosaceae.